Cynoglossus semilaevis (tongue sole) is the source of this 1432-nucleotide long non-coding RNA. RefSeq lists it as uncharacterized. NCBI's taxonomy places the organism in Eukaryota, Metazoa, Chordata, Actinopteri, Pleuronectiformes, Cynoglossidae. The transcript has 2 exons. The record is from RefSeq and is a predicted model, not a curated record.
UUUCGUUGUGUGCAGUGGUGUGCUGUGUCACAAGGACAAGUAGUCAUUCACAUUCAUUCAUUCACAAGGGGAGAUGCUGAGAGAUGCUAAGAUGCAUGAUCCGAUCAGUGAGGAACAGAAGAACAUGCUCAGUGCUCUAGCUCAGAGGUGUUAUACUCAUUUUGACCAGGGGCCUUGAGGGGCCAUUUUAAAUGGAAGACUGUAUAGAUCAGGGGUCCCCAACACCCGGUCUGUGGACUAGUACCAGGCCACAGUGAGACACACUGAAAAAAUGCACAACUUUUAAUAGUUUACUUCAUUCAAAUACAAUCCUGUCAUAUCCAUUUACUUUCAUUAUUUAAAGAUAUCCUGGCAAUAUUUUUAAAAAGUGUCAUUCAGACUCUGAUACAAACAGAAUAGUCUAGUUGAUGUUUUCUUUUGAAAAUUUAAUGAUCCUUCAAUGCUCAGCAUCUUGCUACCGGUCUGCAGUAGCGGAUGGUACUGGCUGACCAGUCCUUGGAACUAAAAAGGUCAGGCACCGCUGGUAUAGCUGAAACUAUUCCAUAACAGACUAAUACAUGUUUCUGCAAUUACUUAUUAUUUGAUUGAUUAUAAAAACUUUUAAUUUCUUAGAUUAAGAAACUCUGCUGCAUGGACUUUACUAAAUUCUUUUUAAGCUCCUGCUGGCCACAGAAAAUGGCUUGGAGGGCCAAGAGUUUGACACCUUUGCUCUAGGUAAACAAAGCUACCAGCAAUGUCUUUUAGUUUAUAUUUUACUGUAUUUUUACUGUUUAUUUUUUUUAGGUUAAAGCCACACACCUGUCUAUAUAAGACCUUACAGCUCACAGUGUAUGGUGUGCUGGAGAAAUAUGGUAAAACAAUAUGUAAGGGCCAAUUCAGAAUAACAGGCAAAAACAGGCCAGGCUGACGUGGGAAUAACAGGAAGACCCAGGAAUAACAGGAAGACUGGAGAUAGGCACAGGCAAGAACAGGUCAAGAUGACCUGGGUAAAUGAACAUGUUUAUCCGAUUACUAGCCAAAUGUUAUGUAACACCACGUUUGUCUAUGUCUAUAAGAAGAAUCAGCAUGUAUCAGAAGGUGGGAUUUGUUGGUGAAUGUUCAGAUGAGAUUCGUUGUUGGACCUGCCAUGGUCAGAAACCUUUGAUACAAUAAAUCCCCAGAGAUGGAGAAGUGUGUCCUGAUCUGCCUCAUUUGUAGACAUCUCUUUCUACAAUAUAAUUGGUGACGCCGACGUGAUUGCUUGGGCCUGCAGGACCAGGGCGGCUAUGUUCCCUCACUGGACCAGCUGUGCAAAGUGCGCAACAGAUAUAGGCAUUGUUUCCUUGUCCAGGAGUGAAGACGCAACCAUCGCUCAGAGUCACUGGAGGAAAUGGACUGCCACUGGCAAAGAGACAUCGACCCUGUGGGGCGCAGAACACAAAGAGGAAAGACA